GAUGAACGCUGUCUACAGGCUUAACACAUGCAAGUCGAGGGGAAACGACGGGGAAGCUUGCUUCCCCGGGCGUCGACCGGCGCACGGGUGAGUAACGCGUAUCCAACCUGCCUCUGACUGAGGGAUAACCCGUCGAAAGUCGGCCUAAUACCUCAUGGCAUCGUCUGCGGGCAUCCAACGACGAUUAAAGAUUUCAUCGGUCAGGGAUGGGGAUGCGUCUGAUUAGCUUGUUGGCGGGGUAACGGCCCACCAAGGCUACGAUCAGUAGGGGUUCUGAGAGGUAGGUCCCCCACAUUGGAGCUGAGACACGGUCCAAACUCCUACGGGAGGCAGCAGUGAGGAAUAUUAGGCAAUGGGCGGGAGCCUGAACCAGCCAAGUAGCGUGCAGGAUGACGGCGCUAUGGGUUGUAAACUGCUUUUAUGCGGGGAUAAAGUGAGGGACGUGUCCUUCAUUGCAGGUACCGCAUGAAUAAGGACCGGCUAAUUCCGUG
This 491-nucleotide ribosomal RNA is filed under the name uncultured bacterium. Its description in RNAcentral is "partial 16S ribosomal RNA". It matches the Rfam family "Bacterial small subunit ribosomal RNA", at positions 28 to 507 of the family's 1533-position model. The record is from RNAcentral.